UGAUGCCCCUCGCCCACCCUUGAAGAUUCCGGGUGGGCGAGGGAAUCGUCAGAGGGAUC
Molecule: non-coding RNA, 59 nt
Organism: Pongo abelii (Sumatran orangutan)
Lineage: Eukaryota; Metazoa; Chordata; Mammalia; Primates; Hominidae
Source: Rfam